AAGAGUCCUGCGGUAGAAAGCCACUCUAGGAGUAGGAGAGACACAGCCUUCACUGAAUGGCCAGAUCUCCAUGGAAGCAAAAUCGAAACCUGUUUCUUCAAUGUCAUCAUGCAGAGAUUACUAAAAAACACUUUCAGAAUUUAGCU
Molecule: long non-coding RNA, 146 nt
Organism: Eubalaena glacialis (North Atlantic right whale)
Lineage: Eukaryota; Metazoa; Chordata; Mammalia; Artiodactyla; Balaenidae
Exons: 3
Source: RefSeq, a predicted model, not a curated record